This 305-nucleotide ribosomal RNA is filed under the name uncultured bacterium. RNAcentral's name for it is "bacterial SSU rRNA". It matches the Rfam family "Bacterial small subunit ribosomal RNA", at positions 334 to 656 of the family's 1533-position model. The record is from RNAcentral.
UUUGCCUACGGGAGGCAGCAGUGGGGAAUAUUGCACAAUGGGGGGAACCCUGAUGCAGCGACGCCGCGUGGGUGAGGAAGUACUUCGGUAUGUAAAGCCCUAUCAGCAGGGAAGAAAAUGACGGUACCUGACUAAGAAGCCCCGGCUAACUACGUGCCAGCAGCCGCGGUAAUACGUAGGGGGCAAGCGUUAUCCGGAUUUAUUGGGUGUAAAGGGUGCGUAGACGGAAGAACAAGUUGGUUGUGAAAUCCCUCGGCUCAACUGAGGAACUGCAACCAAAACUAUUCUCCUUGAGUGUCGGAGAG